Molecule: ribosomal RNA, 385 nt
Filed under: uncultured bacterium
Lineage: Bacteria
Description: bacterial SSU rRNA
Rfam family: Bacterial small subunit ribosomal RNA
Source: RNAcentral
AUUGAACGCUGGCGGCGUGCUUAACACAUGCAAGUCGAUCGGUAACAGGUGUAGCAAUACAUGCUGACGAGAGGCGGACGGGUGAGUAAUGCUUGGGAAUCUGCCUAUUAGUGGGGGACAACCCGGGGAAACUCGGGCUAAUACCGCAUACGCUCUACGGAGGAAAGCCGGGACCGCAAGGCCUGGCGCUAAUAGAUCGAGCCCAAGUCGGAUUAGCUAGUUGGUAGGGAACGGCCUACCAAGGCGACAAUCCGUAGCUGGUCUGAGAGGACGACCAGCCACACCGGAACUGAGACACGGUCCGGACUCCUACGGGAGGCGAGCAGUGGGGAAUAGUUGACAAUGGGGCAACCCUGAUCCAGCGACGCCGCGUGGGUGAAGAAGG